RNAcentral lists this transfer RNA (74 nucleotides) under Nitrososphaerota archaeon. Its description in RNAcentral is "tRNA-Asn". It matches the Rfam family "tRNA". From Rfam's summary of the family: Transfer RNA (tRNA) molecules are approximately 80 nucleotides in length. Their secondary structure includes four short double-helical elements and three loops (D, anti-codon, and T loops). Lineage: Archaea; Thermoproteati; Nitrososphaerota. The record is from RNAcentral.
GCCGCCGUAGCUCAGCGUGGUAGAGCAGCUGGCUGUUAACCAGUUGGUCGACCGUUCAAGUCGGUCAGGCGGCG